This 253-nucleotide ribosomal RNA is filed under the name uncultured bacterium. RNAcentral describes it as "partial 16S ribosomal RNA". It matches the Rfam family "Bacterial small subunit ribosomal RNA", at positions 524 to 776 of the family's 1533-position model. The record is from RNAcentral.
UACGUAGGCAGCGAGCGUUGUUCGGAAUUACUGGGCGUAAAGAGUGUGUAGGCGGUGCUCUAAGUUCGGUGUGAAAUCUCCUGGCUUAACUGGGAGGGUGCGCCGGAAACUGGAGUGCUCGAACGUGGGAGAGGAAAGCGGAAUUCCUGGUGUAGCGGUGAAAUGCGUAGAUAUCAGGAGGAACACCUGCGGUGUAGACGGCUUGCUGGACCAUUGUUGACGCUGAGACACGAAAGCGUGGGUAGCAAACAGG